This 547-nucleotide ribosomal RNA is filed under the name uncultured bacterium. RNAcentral describes it as "bacterial SSU rRNA". It matches the Rfam family "Bacterial small subunit ribosomal RNA", at positions 355 to 895 of the family's 1533-position model. The record is from RNAcentral.
UGGGGAAUAUUGGACAAUGGGCGAAAGCCUGAUCCAGCCAUGCCGCGUGUGUGAAGAAGGCCUUUUGGUUGUAAAGCACUUUAAGUGGGGAGGAAAAGCUUAUGGUUAAUACCCAUAAGCCCUGACGUUACCCACAGAAUAAGCACCGGCUAACUCUGUGCCAGCAGCCGCGGUAAUACAGAGGGUGCAAGCGUUAAUCGGAAUUACUGGGCGUAAAGCGCGCGUAGGUGGUUAUUUAAGUCAGAUGUGAAAGCUCCGGGCUUAACCUGGGAACUGCAUCUGAUACUGGAUAACUAGAGUAGGUGAGAGGGGAGUAGAAUUCCAGGUGUAGCGGUGAAAUGCGUAGAGAUCUGGAGGAAUACCGAUGGCGAAGGCAGCUCCCUGGCAUCAUACUGACACUGAGGUGCGAAAGCGUGGGUAGCAAACAGGAUUAGAUACUCUGGUAGUCCACGCCGUAACGAUGUUUACCAGUCGUUGGGUCUUUUAAAGACUUAGUGACGCAGUUAACGCAAUAAGUAGACCGCCUGGGGAGUACGGCCGCAAGGUU